Saccostrea cuccullata (small rock oyster) is the source of this 440-nucleotide long non-coding RNA. RefSeq lists it as uncharacterized. The transcript is spliced from 3 exons. Lineage: Eukaryota; Metazoa; Mollusca; Bivalvia; Ostreida; Ostreidae. The record is from RefSeq and is a predicted model, not a curated record.
GAAGUACGAAGACGUGAAUUGAGGCUUUUAUGAGACCAAACAAUAUCGACUGGUACAGCAGGAGACAGUGAAAAGGCUUGUGAUCAGACUCUUUGGACAAGUGUAUCGUGUCUUUGGUACAUCUUCGGUGUCAUCUGGUGAGACUGUUGCUGGUUGUGUGGAAACUGUGACAUCGUAAAGGUGGAUGCUGGCUGACUGAGCAGGAGAAGGAACAUUUGAUCUUGCAAGACUCGCAGGGAAAGUGUUGAGGAAGUGUGGUAUUUCCAGAGAAAGAUGAUUAAGAAGUGGUUGGGAGCAUUCCUUUUGUUUAUGAUGAUGGAUACUGCAUCAGCCCCUCAGCGAAAAAUAAUUAUGACAAAAACGGACAUUAUACCUAGAAACGAACGAGAGUAUACCGAAUAUACUAAAGAUAUAAACUGCUCUAAAGGUACUUAUCCACA